Molecule: ribosomal RNA, 422 nt
Filed under: uncultured bacterium
Lineage: Bacteria
Description: bacterial SSU rRNA
Rfam family: Bacterial small subunit ribosomal RNA
Source: RNAcentral
GAGUUUGAUCCUGGCUCAGAGCGAACGUUAGCGGCAGGCUUAACACAUGCAAGUCGAGCGAGAAAGGGGCUUCGGCUCCGAGUAAAGCGGCGGACGGGUGCGUAACACGUGGAUAAUCUGCCUCGUGGCGGGGGACAACAGUCCGAAAGGACUGCUAAUACCGCAUGUCAGGUCGGAAACUCCGGUUUCUGACGAAAAAGAGGGCGUCCGCAAGGAGCUCUCACCACGAGAUGAGUCCGCGUCCCAUCAGCUAGUUGGCGGUGUAAUGGACCACCAAGGCUUAGACGGGUAGCUGGUCUGAGAGGAUGACCAGCCACACUGGGACUGAGACACGGCCCAGACUCCUACGGGAGGCAGCAGUGGGGAAUAUUGGACAAUGGGCGAAAGCCUGAUCCAGCCAUGCCGCGUGAGUGAUGAAGGCC